RNAcentral lists this ribosomal RNA (452 nucleotides) under uncultured Methanomicrobiales archaeon. RNAcentral's name for it is "bacterial SSU rRNA". It matches the Rfam family "Archaeal small subunit ribosomal RNA", at positions 885 to 1338 of the family's 1478-position model. The record is from RNAcentral. Lineage: Archaea; Methanobacteriati; Methanobacteriota; Methanomicrobia; Methanomicrobiales.
CAGGUGAGCCUGCGGUUUAAUCGGACUCAACGCCGGGAAACUCACCAGAUAAGACAGCUGAAUGGUAGUCGGGCUGAAGACUCUACUUGACUAGCUGAGAGGAGGUGCAUGGCCGUCGUCAGUUCGUACUGUGAAGCAUCCUGUUAAGUCAGGCAACGAGCGAGACCCACGCCAACAGUUGCCAGCUCGUCCUCCGGGAUGGUGGGGACACUGUUGGGACCGCCUCUGCUAAAGAGGAGAAGGAAUGGGCAACGGUAGGUCAGCAUGCCCCGAAUUAUCUGGGCUACACGCGGGCUACAAUGGGUGGGACAAUGGGUAUCGACACCGAAAGGUGAAGGCAAUCUCCUAAACCCAUCCGUAGUUCGGAUUGUGGGCUGCAACUCGCCCACAUGAAGCUGGAAUCUGUAGUAAUCGUGUCUCAAAAUGGCACGGUGAAUAUGUCCCUGCUCCUU